CUCUAGGGUCAUACCACCCUCAACGCGCCCGAGGCAUGACCCAGGCAGGGUCGGCCUGGUUAGUACGUGGAUAGGAUUUCGCCUGGGAAGACCAGGUGAUGUAGGCU
This is a ribosomal RNA of Cercocebus atys (sooty mangabey), 107 nucleotides long. The record is from Ensembl. Lineage: Eukaryota; Metazoa; Chordata; Mammalia; Primates; Cercopithecidae.